This 520-nucleotide ribosomal RNA is filed under the name uncultured Glomus. RNAcentral's name for it is "SSU rRNA". It matches the Rfam family "Eukaryotic small subunit ribosomal RNA", at positions 569 to 1093 of the family's 1831-position model. Lineage: Eukaryota; Fungi; Glomeromycota; Glomeromycetes; Glomerales; Glomeraceae. The record is from RNAcentral.
AGCAGCCGCGGUAAUUCCAGCUCCAAUAGCGUAUAUUAAAGUUGUUGCAGUUAAAAAGCUCGUAGUUGAAUUUCGGGGUCAAUACGUCGGUCGUGCCUCGGUACGCACUGACGUUAUUGAUCCCUCCCUUCUGACGAACCGUGAUGUCAUUAAUUUGGUGUUGCGGGGAAUCAGGACUGUUACCUUGAAAAAUUAGAGUGUUUAAAGCAGGCAAUCGCUCGAAUACAUUAGCAUGGAAUAAUGAAAUAGGACGUUCGAACCUAUUUUGUUGGUUUCUAGGAUCGACGUAAUGAUUAAUAGGGAUAGUUGGGGGCAUUAGUAUUCAAUUGUCAGAGGUGAAAUUCUUGGAUUUAUUGAAGACUAACUACUGCGAAAGCAUUUGCCAAGGAUGUUUUCAUUAAUCAAGAACGAAAGUUAGGGGAUCGAAGACGAUCAGAUACCGUCGUAGUCUUAACCAUAAACUAUGCCGACUAGGGAUCGGAUGAUGUUAAUUUUUAAUGACUCAUUCGGCGCCUUACGG